UACGAAGGGGGCUAGCGUUGCUCGGAAUCACUGGGCGUAAAGGGUGCGUAGGCGGGCCUUUAAGUCAGGGGUGAAAUCCUGGAGCUCAACUCCAGAACUGCCUUUGAUACUGAAGAUCUUGAGGUCGGGAGAGGUGAGUGGAACUGCGAGUGUAGAGGUGAAAUUCGUAGAUAUUCGCAAGAACACCAGUGGCGAAGGCGGCUCACUGGCCCGAUACUGACGCUGAGGCACGAAAGCGUGGGGAGCAAACAGG
Molecule: ribosomal RNA, 253 nt
Filed under: uncultured bacterium
Lineage: Bacteria
Description: partial 16S ribosomal RNA
Rfam family: Bacterial small subunit ribosomal RNA
Source: RNAcentral